RNAcentral lists this ribosomal RNA (255 nucleotides) under uncultured bacterium. RNAcentral describes it as "partial 16S ribosomal RNA". It matches the Rfam family "Bacterial small subunit ribosomal RNA", at positions 524 to 776 of the family's 1533-position model. The record is from RNAcentral.
UACGGGGGAGCAAGCGUUGUUCGGAUUUACUGGGCGUAAAGGGCGCGUAGGCGGCCACCGCAAGUCAAUUGUGAAAUCUUCCGGGCUCAACCCGGAAAGGUCAACUGAUACUGCGGGGCUAGAGUGCAGAAGGGGCAACUGGAAUUCUCGGGUGUAGCGGUGAAAUGCGUAGAUAUCGAGAGGAACACCUGCGGCGAAGGCGGGUGCUGGGCUGACACUGACGCUGACAGCGCGAAAGCUAGGGGAGCGAACGGG